Molecule: transfer RNA, 57 nt
Filed under: Thamnaconus multilineatus (finelined filefish)
Lineage: Eukaryota; Metazoa; Chordata; Actinopteri; Tetraodontiformes; Monacanthidae
Description: tRNA-Cys
Source: RNAcentral
UGUUUUACAUAUUAGAUUGCAAAUCUAAAGAAGCAGGCUAAUUCCCUGCCGGGGCUU